AGGGUCGGCGAGGGAGGACUAGCGGCUCGCCAUGGGUGGCUUUUUCUCAAGUAUUUUUUCCAGUUUGUUUGGAACUCAGGAGAUGAGGAUUUUAAUUUUGGGAUGAGAUGGAGCAGGAAAAUCCACAAUAUUGUACAGAUUACAAGUUGGAGAAGUCGUGACUACUAUUCCUACCAUGGGAUUUAAUGUAGAGACGGUGAUAUACAAAAACCUUAAGUUCCAAGUCUGGGAUUUAGGAGGACAGACAAGUAUCAGGCCAUACUGGAGAUGUUACUAUUCAAACACAGAUGCAGUUAUUUGUGUAGUAGACAGUCGUGACCGAGACCUAAUUGGCAUUUCCAAAUCAGAGUUAGUUGCCAUGUUGGAGGAAGAAGAGCUGAGAAGAGCCAUUUUAGUGGUGUUUACAAAUAAACAGGACAUGGAACAGGCCAUGACUCCCUCAGAGAUGGCAAAUUCACUUGGAUUACCUACCUUGAAGGAUGGAAAGUGGCAGAUAUUCAAAACAUCAGCAACCAAAGGCACUGGCCUCGGUGAGGCCAUGGAAUGGUUAGUUGAAACGUUGAAAAGCAGACAGUAG
This is an RNA transcript of Carlito syrichta (Philippine tarsier), 577 nucleotides long. It is a transcript of the gene named ADP-ribosylation factor-like protein 1 pseudogene, with no coding region annotated. The record is from RefSeq and is a predicted model, not a curated record. NCBI's taxonomy places the organism in Eukaryota, Metazoa, Chordata, Mammalia, Primates, Tarsiidae. The transcript has a single exon.